RNAcentral lists this ribosomal RNA (378 nucleotides) under uncultured Alcaligenaceae bacterium. RNAcentral's name for it is "bacterial SSU rRNA". It matches the Rfam family "Bacterial small subunit ribosomal RNA", at positions 1000 to 1382 of the family's 1533-position model. The record is from RNAcentral. Lineage: Bacteria; Pseudomonadati; Pseudomonadota; Betaproteobacteria; Burkholderiales; Alcaligenaceae.
GCAGAGAUGUGGAAGUGCUCGAAAGAGAACCGGAACACAGGUGCUGCAUGGCUGUCGUCAGCUCGUGUCGUGAGAUGUUGGGUUAAGUCCCGCAACGAGCGCAACCCUUGUCAUUAGUUGCUACGAAAGGGCACUCUAAUGAGACUGCCGGUGACAAACCGGAGGAAGGUGGGGAUGACGUCAAGUCCUCAUGGCCCUUAUGGGUAGGGCUUCACACGUCAUACAAUGGUCGGUACAGAGGGCUGCCAACCCGCAAGGGGGAGCCAAUCCCUUAAGACCGAUCGUAGUCCGGAUUGAGGUCUGCAACUCGACCUCAUGAAGUCGGAAUCGCUAGUAAUCGCGGAUCAGCAUGUCGCGGUGAAUACGUUCCCGGGUCUU